Molecule: ribosomal RNA, 638 nt
Filed under: uncultured bacterium
Lineage: Bacteria
Description: bacterial SSU rRNA
Rfam family: Bacterial small subunit ribosomal RNA
Source: RNAcentral
CGGCAGCGCGGGGGCUUCGGUCUCUGGCGGCGAGUGGCGGACGGGUGAGUAAUAUAUGGGAACGCGCCCGGCGGCGGGGGAUAACUCUGGGAAACCAGAGCUAAUACCGCAUGCGUUUCGCCUUUCGGGGCGAAAGAAAGCGGGGGACUUCUUCGGAGGCCUCGCACCGGCGGAGCGGCCCAUAUCCGAUUAGCUUGUUGGCGGGGUAACAGCCCACCAAGGCCGCGAUCGGUAGCUGGUCUGAGAGGACGGACAGCCACACCGGGACUGAGACACGGCCCGGACUCCUACGGGAGGCAGCAGUGGGGAAUAUUGGACAAUGGGGGCAACCCUGAUCCAGCAAUGCCGCGUGUGUGAAGAAGGCCUUCGGGUUGUAAAGCACUUUCGCGGGGGAAGAAAAAGCGAGGGGUAAUAUCUCUCGCGCCUGACGGUACCCCGAGAAGAAGCACCGGCUAACUACGUGCCAGCAGCCGCGGUAAUACGUAGGGUGCGAGCGUUAAUCGGAAUUACUGGGCGUAAAGCGUGCGCAGGCGGCCUGUCAAGUCGGGUGUGAAAUCCCCGGGCUCAACCCGGGAAUUGCGCUUGAAACCGGCGGGCUAGAGUACGGCAGAGGAAGGUGGAAUUCCGUGUGUAGCGGU